This 148-nucleotide non-coding RNA is filed under the name Homo sapiens (human). The record is from Rfam by way of RNAcentral. Lineage: Eukaryota; Metazoa; Chordata; Mammalia; Primates; Hominidae.
GCCAGGCGUGGUGGUGGACGCCUGUAAUCCCAGCUACUUGAGAGGCUGAGGUAGGAGAAUCGCUUGAACCCAGGAGGCUGAGGCUGCAGUGAGCCGAGAUCGUGCCACUGCACUCUAGCCUGGGCAACAGAGCUAGACUCUGUCUCAA